ACUGCCACCCAGAGGGUUCU
RNAcentral lists this unclassified non-coding RNA (20 nucleotides) under Mus musculus (house mouse). Its description in RNAcentral is "oocyte_clustered_small_RNA13507". Lineage: Eukaryota; Metazoa; Chordata; Mammalia; Rodentia; Muridae. The record is from RNAcentral.